AUUGAACGCUGGCGGCAUGCCUUACACAUGCAAGUCGAACGGCAGCACGGGGCAACCCUGUGGCGAGUGGCGAACGGGUGAGUAACACAUCGGAACGUGCCCAGUAGUGGGGGAUAGCUCGGCGAAAGCCGGAUUAAUACCGCAUACGACCUACGGGUGAAAGCGGGGAGUCGCAAGACCUCGCGCUAUCGGAGCGGCCGAUGUCAGAUUAGGUUGUUGGGGGGUAAAGGCCUACCAAGCCGACGAUCUGUAGCUGGUCUGAGAGGACGACCAGCCACACUGGGACUGAGACACGGCCCAGACUCCUACGGGAGGCAGCAGUGGGGAAUUUUGACAAUGGGCGCAAGCCUGAUCCAGCCAUGCCGCGUGCGGG
RNAcentral lists this ribosomal RNA (373 nucleotides) under uncultured bacterium. RNAcentral describes it as "bacterial SSU rRNA". It matches the Rfam family "Bacterial small subunit ribosomal RNA", at positions 29 to 407 of the family's 1533-position model. The record is from RNAcentral.